GGGGGCGUAAAGGUUUCGACGGGGGCUUUGAGGUAUAUAUAGCGGGUAGAAGCGCCCAGCCUUCUAUAAAAUGGGCAAAAACAAUAAAUGCUAACGAUAAUUUAGCUUACGCGGCCUAAUUAGGCCUGCCGUCCUGCCGAAGAGUACCGUGGCUUCGGAUUUGGGCGUCGAUUAACGGUGAACGAUGACGGAAGCUUCUUCCGUACCGCCAUUGUAUCAGGAAGAUACCGCUUGCGGCGGCUUGGCUGUCGUCUGCCGCAGGCGGGAAGCUUAAACAACAGCCUGCACCCGGAGAAGUAUAUAUGGAUUGGCUUUCGGACGCGGGUUCGACUCCCGCCGCCUCCACCA
RNAcentral lists this transfer-messenger RNA (348 nucleotides) under human gut metagenome. It matches the Rfam family "transfer-messenger RNA". From Rfam's summary of the family: Bacterial tmRNA, also known as 10Sa RNA or SsrA, is named for its dual tRNA and mRNA-like properties. The record is from RNAcentral.